UGAGGAAUAUUGGUCAAUGGACGAGAGUCUGAACCAGCCAAGUAGCGUGCAGGACGACGGCCCUAUGGGUUGUAAACUGCUUUUAUACGGGGAUAAAGUCAAUCACGUGUGAUUGUUUGCAGGUACCGUAUGAAUAAGGACCGGCUAAUUCCGUG
This 155-nucleotide ribosomal RNA is filed under the name uncultured bacterium. Its description in RNAcentral is "partial 16S ribosomal RNA". It matches the Rfam family "Bacterial small subunit ribosomal RNA", at positions 355 to 507 of the family's 1533-position model. The record is from RNAcentral.